This 520-nucleotide ribosomal RNA is filed under the name uncultured bacterium. RNAcentral's name for it is "partial 16S ribosomal RNA". It matches the Rfam family "Bacterial small subunit ribosomal RNA", at positions 355 to 864 of the family's 1533-position model. The record is from RNAcentral.
UGGGGAAUAUUGCACAAUGGGCGCAAGCCUGAUGCAGCCAUGCCGCGUGUGUGAAGAAGGCCUUCGGGUUGUAAAGCACUUUCAGCGAGGAGGAAGGUGGUGAGCUUAAUACGCUCAUCAAUUGACGUUACUCGCAGAAGAAGCACCGGCUAACUCCGUGCCAGCAGCCGCGGUAAUACGGAGGGUGCAAGCGUUAAUCGGAAUUACUGGGCGUAAAGCGCACGCAGGCGGUUUGUUAAGUCAGAUGUGAAAUCCCCGGGCUCAACCUGGGAACUGCAUUUGAAACUGGCAAGCUAGAGUCUCGUAGAGGGGGGUAGAAUUCCAGGUGUAGCGGUGAAAUGCGUAGAGAUCUGGAGGAAUACCGGUGGCGAAGGCGGCCCCCUGGACGAAGACUGACGCUCAGGUGCGAAAGCGUGGGGAGCAAAACAGGAUUAGAUACCCUGGUAGUCCACGCUGUAAAACGAUGUCGAUUUUGGAGGUUGUGCCCUUGAGGCGUGGCUUCCGGAGCUAACGCGUUAAA